This 253-nucleotide ribosomal RNA is filed under the name uncultured bacterium. RNAcentral describes it as "partial 16S ribosomal RNA". It matches the Rfam family "Bacterial small subunit ribosomal RNA", at positions 524 to 776 of the family's 1533-position model. The record is from RNAcentral.
GACAGAGGUGCCAAGCGUUAGGCGGAAUCACUGGGCUUAAAGCGUGUGUAGGCGGAUGUCUAAGUACCUUGUGAAAUCCCACGGCUCGACCGUGGAACUGCUUGGUAUACUGGAUGUCUUGAGCCAUCUAGGGGCUACCGGAACAAAUGGUGGAGCGGUGAAAUGCGUAGAUAUCAUUUGGAACGCCAAUGGUGAAAACAGGUAGCUGGGGAUGUGCUGACGCUGAGACACGAAAGCCAGGGGAGCAAACGGG